RNAcentral lists this long non-coding RNA (955 nucleotides) under Malus domestica (apple). Its description in RNAcentral is "long non-coding RNA (MDOM_LNC009316)". The record is from RNAcentral. Lineage: Eukaryota; Viridiplantae; Streptophyta; Magnoliopsida; Rosales; Rosaceae.
AAAUUUCGGUACCCAAUACUGAACCGAUCCCGAAAUUUCGGUACGGGAAUCGGUCUCAAGUUUUUGGGAUUUCGGUAUUCCCAAACCGAACUGAAAUAUAUAUAUAUAUAUAUAUAUAUAUAUAUAUAUAUUAUUUAACGGCUUAUUAUAUUAACACCCCAUAAAUUGUUGAAUAAACCCCACAAAUUUAAUACACCUCACAUUUGUUUUUUAAUUAAAAAUUAUCUUAAUACACCCCACAUACUUCUCCAUAAUACCCUCAUUCCCCAUAUUCUUAAUAUACACCUUACAUUUUCUAUAUGCACCCCAUAUUUUCUAGACACCAACAUUUCUCAAAUCUUAUAAAGCUUUUAAUUUGGACAAAUAACGUUGACUAAAAUUUUGACAAAAGAUGCCGCCUGGGAUUUAAAGCAUAUGUGGGUUGUUUUCAAUUCCACCAUUAAAACCCAUGUUGUCUAUUUUUAAUAGUGGUAAUUUUAGAUGUUUAAUUCUUCAUGUAAUCUCUGUGAUCCCUAAAAGAUGAAUACGAACAUAGAAGCUUGAAUAAUGUAUCAAAAACAAGAUUAAAUAAUUAUCGAUAUCGUCAAAGUCACUAAAACAAUAAAUAAUAUGAAGCCUUACCUCAUGUGAAGCUUUCGAAACAUCGAUUUCGUGUUUCAUUCGUCAAAAAUAAUUUUUCUCAAUCAACAUAUUUGUAGUUUCAUUGGUUAGGAUUUUGUUCAACAAUGGAGGGUUGGAGGGGUUUUGAUAGUUGAAGAAAAUAAAUAAUACGUUAAAAAUGAUUUGGGGUGUAUAUAGAAUUUUUUUAUUUUUUUUAACCUAAUAAGGUCAAAAUUGCCAUUGCAUAGUAGAAUAAAUAAGUUAUUUAAUAUUAAUUUUUAAUAUGGGGUGCAUUCAACAUUUUGUGGGGUGCUAAUAUAAAAAACCUAUUUAAUUUUUAAAUAUAUAUAUUUAG